RNAcentral lists this ribosomal RNA (795 nucleotides) under uncultured archaeon. RNAcentral's name for it is "bacterial SSU rRNA". It matches the Rfam family "Archaeal small subunit ribosomal RNA", at positions 85 to 878 of the family's 1478-position model. The record is from RNAcentral.
ACUGCUCAGUAACACGUGGAUAACCUGCCCUUGGGUCCGGCAUAACCCCGGGAAACUGGGGAUAAUUCCGGAUAACGCACAUAUGCUGGAAUGCUUUAUGCGUAAAAUGGAUUCGUCUGCCCAAGGAUGGGUCUGCGGCCUAUCAGGUAGUAGUGGGUGUAAUGUACCUACUAGCCUACGACGGGUACGGGUUGUGAGAGCAAGAGCCCGGAGAUGGAUUCUGAGACAUGAAUCCAGGCCCUACGGGGCGCAGCAGGCGCGAAAACUUUACAAUGCGGGAAACCGUGAUAAGGGGACACCGAGUGCCAGCAUCCUAUGCUGGCUGUCCGGGUGUGUAAAAUACACCUGUUAGCAAGGGCCGGGCAAGACCGGUGCCAGCCGCCGCGGUAACACCGGCGGCCCGAGUGGUGAUCGUGAUUAUUGGGUCUAAAGGGUCCGUAGCCGGUUUGGUCAGUCCUCCGGGAAAUCUGACAGCUUAACUGUUAGGCUUUCGGAGGAUACUGCCAGACUUGGAACCGGGAGAGGUAAGAGGUACUACAGGGGUAGGAGUGAAAUCUUGUAAUCCCUGUGGGACCACCUGUGGCGAAGGCGUCUUACCAGAACGGGUUCGACGGUGAGGGACGAAAGCUGGGGGCACGAACCGGAUUAGAUACCCGGGUAGUCCCAGCCGUAAACGAUGCUCGCUAGGUGUCAGGCAUGGCGCGACCGUGUCUGGUGCCGCAGGGAAGCCGUGAAGCGAGCCACCUGGGAAGUACGGCCGCAAGGCUGAAACUUAAAGGAAUUGGCGGGGGAGCA